CGCACAUUGCGCCCUUUGGCAUUCCGAAGGGCAUGCCCGUUCGAGCGUCAUUAAAUCCACUCAAGCCUGGCUUGGUAUUGGGCGACGGGGACUCCCCGCGCCUCCAUUUCGCCGGCUGGCCGUCGUUUGACUUAGCGUUGUGACACAUGUCGCUGACGACGAAGACGGACCACGCCGUGAAAACUCUCUUGAGGAUCCAUCGAUUCUCAGUAAAGGUUGACCUCGGAUCGGGUAGGAAUACCCGCUGAACUUAA
This 254-nucleotide unclassified non-coding RNA is filed under the name fungal sp. RNAcentral describes it as "partial contains 5.8S ribosomal RNA, internal transcribed spacer 2, and large subunit ribosomal RNA". Lineage: Eukaryota; Fungi. The record is from RNAcentral.